UAUGUAACACAAACCCCUUGUGACAGAUGUUUAACUAUAUAACAAACAUUCACAGGUACCCCAAUACCUAAAAUAAAAGUUAAAAAACAAAAUCAACAGCAAAAAACAGACCAAGUGUGGAGUCUCACGCCUGUAAUCCAAGAAAUUUGAGAGGCCAAGGCAGGCUGGAAGAUUGAGGCCAGGAGUUUGAGAAGAGGCUGGGCAAAAUGAUGAAACCCUAUCUCUACUAAAAAUACAAAAAAAUAGCUGGCAUACAUGGUGGCAGACGCCUGUAAUUCCAUCUAUUCGGCAAGAACUUACCUGUUUGCAACACUGAAUGCUGAGCUGAAUAGAAGAGAGAAAAAUAAAGGAAAUGCUGGGGAUAACUUGGUUAUUACCACAAAUAAUCACGGUCUACUUUUAAUUAUUUCUUAAUACACUAUGAAAUAUCUGGAGGCUACAAUAUCAAGGACAGAAUAACAGGGACUUUAUUCCCUCCAUCAUGGAACAUAUAAUUCCAUGGAAUACCUAAUUUCAUCAUGGAAUAUAUAUAGUCUACAUAUGAAAUAUAUAAUUCCAUCUCUCUUCCCUCUCUCUUAUUCCUGGAAGGUUACUAAUCCCAUCAUGGAAGCCUCAUCCUCAUGCUUAAUCUAACUCUAAUUGCCUCUCAAACUCCUUACCUCCUAAUAUCAUUACAUUGAGGGGUAAAGAUUAAAUAUAUGAAUUUGGAGGAUGACACAAACUUUUAGUUUGUAAUAGGGAUGGUUUAAAUAGAAUAAAAGGGCAACUAUUCUCAGAAUUCAGAUGUUGCAAUUUUUGUCUACAUGAGUCACAGAAAAAUUGAACAUUACUAGAUAUUCAAGGUUCUCAAUUAUGAUUAAAAUUAUUAAUUGAAGUUUGAUUACUCUUGAUUUUCCUGGCUUUAUGUAACCUCAAUUUAAGCAGAGUAUUUCAAAUCUAUGUUUUAUUAGCUCACAGCUAGAAUAAAAAAUGUAUUUAUACUCUCAA
Molecule: long non-coding RNA, 987 nt
Filed under: Callithrix jacchus (white-tufted-ear marmoset)
Lineage: Eukaryota; Metazoa; Chordata; Mammalia; Primates; Cebidae
Description: lncRNA (ENSCJAG00000077666.1)
Source: RNAcentral